ACGCUGGCGGCGUGCUUAACACAUGCAAGUCGAACGAUGAAGCCUAGCUUGCUAGGUGGAUUAGUGGCGAACGGGUGAGUAAUACGUGAGUAACCUACCUUUAACUCUGGGAUAAGCCUGGGAAACUGGGUCUAAUACCGGAUACGACCAAUCUCCGCAUGGGGUGUUGGUGGAAAGCGUUAUGUAGUGGUUAUAGAUGGGCUCACGGCCUAUCAGCUUGUUGGUGAGGUAACGGCUCACCAAGGCGACGACGGGUAGCCGGCCUGAGAGGGUGACCGGCCACACUGGGACUGAGACACGGCCCAGACUCCUACGGGAGGCAGCAGUGGGGAAUAUUGCACAAUGGGCGCAAGCCUGAUGCAGCGACGCCGCAUGAGGGAUGACGGCCUUCGGGUUGUAAACCUCUGUUAGCAGGGAAGAAGAGAAAUUGACGGUACCUGCAGAGAAAGCGCCGGCUAACUACGUGCCAGCAGCCGCGGUAAUACGUAGGGCGCGAGCGUUGUCCGGAAUUAUUGGGCGUAAAGAGCUUGUAGGCGGUUUGUCGCGUCUGCUGUGAAAGGCCGGGGCUUAACCCCGUGUAUUGCAGUGGGUACGGGCAGACUAGAGUGCAGUAAGGGAGACUGGAACUCCUGGUGUAGCGGUGGAAUGCGCAGAUAUCAGGAAGAACACCGAUGGCGAAGGCAGGUCUCUGGGCUGUAACUGACGCUGAGAAGCGAAAGCAUGGGGAGCGAACAGGAUUAGAUACCCUGGUAGUCCAUGCCGUAAACGUUGGGCACUAGGUGUGGGGGACAUUCCACGUUUUCCGCGCCGUAGCUAACGCAUUAAGUGCCCCGCCUGGGGAGUACGGCCGCAAGGCUAAAACUCAAAGAAAUUGACGGGGGCCCGCACAAGCGGCGGAGCAUGCGGAUUAAUUCGAUGCAACGCG
RNAcentral lists this ribosomal RNA (925 nucleotides) under uncultured bacterium. Its description in RNAcentral is "bacterial SSU rRNA". It matches the Rfam family "Bacterial small subunit ribosomal RNA", at positions 33 to 963 of the family's 1533-position model. The record is from RNAcentral.